CUCACUCACUCACACACACACACACACACACACACACACACACACACGCACACACACACACACACACACACACACCUGCCAUUUGACGACACAAACUCCCCCUGCAUAGCGCCUGUUCAGCAAGGUGUGGAAAGUGAUGCAGCUUCUGCUAAAGAGCAUCGUUCCAUUGCAAUCUCCAGGUUGUAUCAGCAGCAACUCCCUGUGUAUCCAUCCACUUAAAAUCAUGAAUGAAUCCACUUCCUGCAGCGUUUUGGAGAGAAUAUUCUGGAUCCUGUCAGUAUUGAUGCUGUGACCUCUGUUUAUUGAUCCCUCAAUAGCAAAUCCUUUCUCGUGUAAAACCCUGCUACAAUCUUCAACGUUUGAUAGGUCAUCUCUUUUCCCUUCUCUGUUCCGAGAGGACUCCUAACUUUUCCAAAUUACUCUUUACUGUAAUUCUAGACACUCUCUAAAUCAAUUCUUCGGCUUGAAGUCUGCAGAAGGGUCCCGACCCGAAACAUCACCCAUCCUUUUUCAGACAGAGAUGCUGCCUGACCCGCUGAGUUACUCCAGAACUUUGUGUCUAUCUUAGGCUUUUGACAUCCUUCCUUUAAUGUAGUUUAGAGAUACAGCGUGGAAACAGGCCCUUCGGCCCACCGAGUCAGCACCGAUCAGCGAUCCCCGCACACUAACAGUUGAGCCGUGGGCCAAUCAGUUGCAUGGUGCUUUUGUGAACAGCACCACAAACAUUGGGCCACAUGACCCUUUGAACAUUGUAAACCUUGAGAGAGAAGUUUGCUUUGUUGACAUCUUGCUCUUCUUUCCCACCCCCCAGGUUUGGCGUACUCUGAAUUGUUCUCUCCCCUUGCCAAGCUGUGGGGCUGGAUCUCGCUGCUGUCUCCAGAAAAAGCUCUGCCCCUGGUGUACUGGUGGUUGGGCACAGCCUGGUACCAGUUAACAACGGCCAUCUCCUUGAUCGAUGUCUUUACUCUGUCCAGGUGUUGGCCUCUUGAUGACAUCCACAGGUAUCUGGUCUCGUGCCGAGAAGCUGGGUGUGCUGGAAAGCACUCAGGUGAGCCCCUGACCGUCCCAUCCUUGUGCACUCUCGCUCUUCCUCCUGGAGCCCUUCACCUCCGUUGGUCACGGCUGCCCGUGAGCAGUCCGGGUGUCAGGGGUUAUGGGGAGAAGGCAGGAGAAUGCGGUUAGGAGGGAGAGAUAGAUCAGCCAUGAUUGAAUGGCGGAGUAGAUGGGCUGAAUGGCCUAAUUCUGCUCCUAUCAUUUAUGACCUUAUUACCCUGGAGCUGCCCUGGCUGCAGGAUCCCUCGCAGUCCAUUCACCCCUUUCCCACAUUCUGGUACAGCCACCAGCGACCCAGUAACUUGCACAAUCACAGGAGGUCCUCGGCACAAUCAUGUCCAUCCCUGGGACUCCAGGAUAGUCUUGGUGUUGUAGUCAUGCAACAUGUUGUUAGUUGGCCUUGCCAAGCAAGUUGGAAAACUGGGCUUCCCGCAAGACAGUGGGGGUGUCACUGUGAAGUGCUUGUUAAUUGUCUCUAGUAACAUCGUAUUAACACAAUGUGUCACCAAUUGUGUUUUGACCUUCAAGUAUUACUGGAGGUAUUCACAGAUAAUUUCUUAAAGCUGUCUGAUGAGGGUACAGUUAUCAUUUGAACUAAUUGGAUGUAUUGGUGGAUGGGAAAGAUUUAAACAUGGCUGGCUUGCAGGUAAGUCCUUCAUUCAGGUCACUCGCGUUAUUCAGUAUUUCUUCCCCUCGGUUCUUCUGUUUGCCUAUCUUUGUUUCAGUUUUAUUUAUUGAUCACAUUGCAGCUUUUGAAAGAUUCAAGUGGGUAUCAGAAGUUUUCUAAGGGCUGAAUCGGCCGAUUCACGGGCCCUUUCAUUGCCCGGCGCAGCUUAAAAUCAAUCUGCUGCAUCGAGGCGAUCGAGGCUCCCGAUGUUGAAGCCCCCGCCGGCCGAUUUUAAACCGCGCCAGCCGAUGAAAGACCCCGCGAACGGGCCGAUUCAAGCCCCAUGAUUCGGGACGGACGAAUCUGCUGUUGCUGGAGUUCAGAGUCGGUCACCAACCAGGUCGGCUCCCGAUGUUACCAUCCACAGGGUCCACGGCCAAAGCCUCGCGUGUGUAUGUGCGUGUGUGUCCGUGUGUGUGAGUGUGUGCGCAAGCGCGUGUCCACCAAGGAAUUGUGCCCCCCCCCCCCAUGUUUUGAUAGCGAUUUCCGCCCCUGCGCACAACUGCACAGACUUGCUAGACAUUAAAUGCUGGAGUAACUCAGCAGGUCAGGCAGAUUCACUGGCGAAAGGAAUGUGACGUUCCUGGAAGUUUUCAACCUGAAACGUCACCUAGUCUUUCUCUCUGGAGAUGCAACUUCACCCGAUGGGUUACUCCAGUUUUUGUGUCUAUCUUCGGUUUAAACCAGCAUCUGCAGUUCCCUCCUAUGCAUUCUGACAGCUUGCUAGCUGGUUUCUCGACACAAGCCGUGCUGUGCAGCUUUCAGCUCCCCGCCCAUGUGUGUGGUUUGCACACCCUUCGUUAGCUGCCCGCUUCUGUGUGGCCAGCUCACCUCCCUCGUGAGAAAAAUCCAUGCGCCAACUCAUACUUAUUUAGAUCCAAAGCAAUCUUUGUCAUUUGAUGGUUACCGUACAUGGUAUGGAUGUCUGCUCCGGUCAGUAAAUGUGGAAUCAAGGGCGGUACGGUGGCAUAGUGGUAGAGUUACUGCCUUAUAGUGCUUGCAGCACCAGAGACCCGGGUUCAAUCCUGAUUACGGGUGCUGUCUGUACGAAGUUUGUACGUUCUCUCCGUGACCAUGAGGGUUUCUCCGAGAUCUUUGCUUUCCUCCCUCACUCCAAAGACGUACGGGUUUGUUGGUUAAUUGGCUUGGUAUAAAUUGUCCCUAGUGUGU
Long non-coding RNA from Leucoraja erinaceus (little skate), 2890 nucleotides. RefSeq lists it as uncharacterized. The transcript has 3 exons. The record is from RefSeq and is a predicted model, not a curated record. NCBI's taxonomy places the organism in Eukaryota, Metazoa, Chordata, Chondrichthyes, Rajiformes, Rajidae.